This 328-nucleotide ribosomal RNA is filed under the name uncultured eukaryote. RNAcentral's name for it is "partial 18S ribosomal RNA". It matches the Rfam family "Eukaryotic small subunit ribosomal RNA", at positions 1470 to 1796 of the family's 1831-position model. The record is from RNAcentral.
CCCUUAGAUGUUCUGGGCCGCACGCGUGUUACACUGAUGCGUUCAUCAAGCACCACACCUUGGCUCGAGAGGCCUGGGUAAUCUUGAAAUCGCAUCGUGCUGGGGAUAGAUUAUUGUAAUUUUUAAUCUUCAACGAGGAAUGUCUAGUAAGCGCAAGUCAUCAGCUUGCGUUGAUUACGUCCCUGCCCUUUGUACACACCGCCCGUCGCUCCUACCGAUUGAAUGGUCCGGUGAAGCGUUCGGACCGUGGCCUUUGGACGGUUCGCCGUCUGUUGGCUGCGGGAAGUUCGUUAAACCUUAUCAUUUAGAGGAAGGAGAANUCGUAACA